UGCAUAUUCACAAAGCGGAGGAAAAGAAACUAACAAGGAUUCCCCUAGUAACGGCGAGUGAAGCGGGAAGAGCUCAAAUUUGAAAUCUGGUAGCCUUCGGCUGCCCGAGUUGUAAUCUAGAGAAGUGUUUUCCGUGCCGGCCCAUGUACAAGUCCCUUGGAACAGGGCGUCAUAGAGGGUGAGAAUCCCGUCCUUGACAUGGACCCCCGGUGCUUUGUGAUACACUUUCAACGAGUCGAGUUGUUUGGGAAUGCAGCUCAAAAUGGGUGGUGAAUUCCAUCUAAAGCUAAAUAUUGGCGAGAGACCGAUAGCGAACAAGUACCGUGAGGGAAAGAUGAAAAGCACUUUGGAAAGAGAGUUAAACAGUACGUGAAAUUGUUGAAAGGGAAACGAUUGAAGUCAGUCAUGCUCUUUGGAUUCAGCCGUUCUGCGGUGUAUUUCCAUUGAGUGGGGUCAACAUCAGUUUUGAUCGCUGGAUAAAGGCACUAGGAAGGUAGCACUCUCGGGUGAACUUAUAGCCUAGCGUCAUAUACAGUGAUUGGGACUGAGGAACGCAGCAUGCCUUUAUGGCCGGGAUUCGUCCACGUACAUGCUUAGGAUGUUGACAUAAUGGCUUUAAACGACCCGUCUUAA
This 633-nucleotide ribosomal RNA is filed under the name Naganishia uzbekistanensis. Its description in RNAcentral is "eukaryotic LSU rRNA". It matches the Rfam family "Eukaryotic large subunit ribosomal RNA", at positions 37 to 657 of the family's 3401-position model. The record is from RNAcentral. Lineage: Eukaryota; Fungi; Basidiomycota; Tremellomycetes; Filobasidiales; Filobasidiaceae.